CAGCAGCCGCGGUAAUACGAAGGGUGCAAGCGUUACUCGGAACUACUGGGCGUAAAGCGUGCGUAGGUGGUGGUUUAAGUCCGUUGUGAAAGCCCUGGGCUCAACCUGGGAAUUGCAGUGGAUACUGGAUCACUAGAGUGUGGUAGAGGAUAGUGGAAUUUCCGGUGUAGCAGUGAAAUGCGUAGAGAUCGGAAGGAACAUCUGUGGCGAAGGCGACUAUCUGGGCCAACACUGACACUGAGGCACGAAAGCGUGGGGAGCAAACAGGAUUAGAUACCCCUGUAGUCCCUGUCUCUUAUAC
RNAcentral lists this ribosomal RNA (301 nucleotides) under uncultured bacterium. RNAcentral describes it as "partial 16S ribosomal RNA". It matches the Rfam family "Bacterial small subunit ribosomal RNA", at positions 509 to 807 of the family's 1533-position model. The record is from RNAcentral.